This is a long non-coding RNA of Caretta caretta (loggerhead turtle), 1498 nucleotides long. RefSeq lists it as uncharacterized. NCBI's taxonomy places the organism in Eukaryota, Metazoa, Chordata, Testudines, Cheloniidae. The record is from RefSeq and is a predicted model, not a curated record.
GGGGCCGCGCAGGAAGCCGAGCGCGGGCCGGGCGGGGCUCGUCGCCCCGGAGCCAGGGGCGCUCUGACGAGGACGCCGCCGGCUUCCCUAGGAGCGGCCCCGGCUAGACCGGCCCCGCGCCGCGGACAUACCCCCCGUUCCUCCCGGCAGCCCCCCACCCCCAGCCCGGGGUUUCACGCGGCCGAGGCUGCCGUUAGGCCAGGGCAAUGCUGCUCCGACCCAUCUCAGUUCCUUUGCACCAAAUAUCAAGAGUUGAGACUCUAAUGCAGAGAGAAUGGAGGUUUAAAAAGCCCGCUCCUAAGCGACCAGAGGAGCUAGCAAACAGGAGCAGCUAACAAGAGUUUCAUGAGGGAGUUCUCCAGGUAAAGGAGGACCCUUGGGGGGCACCUGGCAUUGGCUACUGUCGGAAGCAGGAUACUGGGCUAGAUGGACCUUUGCUCUGACCCAGUAUGGCCAUUCUUAUGAAUGGGAUGCUUAAAAUGAAAGGCAGAUAUCUUAGGUCUAACAGGAAAUCUAGGAUAGCCGAGAUAAGGAGAUGGAUACAAGUUGCUAGAGCUGACAUGAAAAACUGAAUCUCUUCCACUUCUGCAAGCAAGUGAUUUGGGUUGACUUCUUUCUACUGUUCAGUAACACUUGUACUUCCACAGAACAGGUUCCUUAUUGUACUAACCAGCCUUUUGGAACUCGUGUCCUCCGUCAACCUGUACAACCCUUUGAAACACUUCAAGUGGCCAGAGAGGUGACAACUUAGUGGCUAAAGGCAUCCUCUCGUCAGUUCUAGGGAUGCUUUAUGCUUCCAUACCUUGCACAGUACACAACACACCAUUUUAAGAUCAUCAGAAUGGUUUCUCAUUAGGGGCAUUCAUGAAAGAGUACACCAUUUCCCCAGCUCUCUUUGUGCUCCAUUCUUUUCAGAGAGCAGGGAACUGAAGUAUGUAAUCCUAGCAACCUUAGUCAUAAUGGAACAGUCCAUUGUUGGGCAAUUCCACUGCAUACAGAAACUUCUGCUCAAAAUUAUGGGGCUAGGAAUAUUCAGCCAAUUGAUGGCAUUUGAUUUGGGGUAAUUGACUGGUCUGUAUUUUUCAUUGGUUUUAAUUUUUACAAGAAUGCCAAGAACACCUGGAGCUUUGAAUGGGAGCAUUUACUAAAAUACAUAAAAACCCAACUAAAUAAAUGACUGGAUGAAGAAAUCUGUAGGGGUUAUUCUUCUCCCCUCAUUGUACGCCAACAUUCCUUGCACCUGCCAUUUUUGUUUUUUUUAAACAGAGUCCUCCACACAUAUCACACAUUGCUUUAGGAGAAAAAUCACAGACUAAACUGAACAAGAUAAGCAAGGCAAGACAGAGAGGAAGCGACUCAGAAGCUCUAAAGGGUUACAGUUACUCUUUCAUGAGCUACUCCAUCUACCUCCUGCAGAGUAGCAGGGAAUGGGAGUGGAGCAGGCAGGCAAAGGAGUACUAUGUACAGGUCAGAGAGAAGAGCUGAAUGAGGAUAUAGG